This 355-nucleotide transfer-messenger RNA is filed under the name Oscillospiraceae. Its description in RNAcentral is "SIG495 sp015067795 Standard tmRNA". It matches the Rfam family "transfer-messenger RNA". Rfam says of the family: Bacterial tmRNA, also known as 10Sa RNA or SsrA, is named for its dual tRNA and mRNA-like properties. Its role is to liberate the mRNA from a stalled ribosome. The record is from RNAcentral. Lineage: Bacteria; Bacillati; Bacillota; Clostridia; Eubacteriales. RNAcentral also lists the same sequence under 1 other name.
GGGGGCGUACCGGUUUCGACAGGGGUUUUGAAUCAGGCUAAGCGGGUAGAGGUGUCGACUCUUUAAACGACAACCUUAUAAAUCAAAUAACAACAAUUAUUCUUUACCAGUAGCCGCUUAAGGCUGCUCGACUCCCCGGGGAGGAUCACGGCCUCGGGUUAGUCGUCACUUAGUGAUGAACGUGAGCAGGUCAAGCUUUGCGCCUGCCAUGCAUAAUGAAGCUACUAAACCGUACAGCGUGACGGCUUGCUAUGCGGUAAGGGAAUGGAGAUAAUCUCGAAAUAACCGUCUGCACCCGGAGAAAGGCUUGUGGAUAGGCUUUUGGACGCGGGUUCAACUCCCGCCGCCUCCACCA